ACCAUGCUGAAUAUACCGGUUCUCGUUAGAUCACCGAAGUCAAGCAUCAUUGGGCGCGGUCAGUACUUGGGUGGGUGACCACCUGGGAACAACA
RNAcentral lists this ribosomal RNA (94 nucleotides) under Caerostris extrusa. The record is from RNAcentral. Lineage: Eukaryota; Metazoa; Arthropoda; Arachnida; Araneae; Araneidae.